This 1941-nucleotide ribosomal RNA is filed under the name hot springs metagenome. Its description in RNAcentral is "bacterial LSU rRNA". It matches the Rfam family "Bacterial large subunit ribosomal RNA", at positions 3 to 1990 of the family's 2925-position model. The record is from RNAcentral.
UCAAGCUACAAAGGGCUUAUGGUGGAUACCUAGGCACACAGAGGCGAGGAAGGACGUGGUUACCGACGAUACGCUUCGGGGAGCUGGAAGCAAGCAUUGAUCCGAAGAUUUCCGAAUGGGGCAACCCUAAGUACGGCCUGUUGAAUCCAUAGACAGGUACGAGCGAACCUGGUGAAUUGAAACAUCUAAGUAGCCAGAGGAAGAGAAAACAACAGUGAUUCCCCUAGUAGCGGCGAGCGAAGCGGGAAGAGCCUAAACCGGUGGGCAUGCCUGCCGGGGUAGUGGGACAGCGACAGGGAAUCCGGAAGCUAGACGAAGCAGUUGAGAGCUGCACCAGAGGGGGUGAGAGUCCCGUAGUCGAAAGUGGAAGGAUACUAGCUGGAUCCCGAGUAGCGUGGGGCACGUGAAAUCCCGCGUGAAUCAGCGAGGACCAUCUCGUAAGGCUAAAUACUCCUGUGUGACCGAUAGUGAAGAGUACCGCGAGGGAAAGGUGAAAAGAACCCCGGGAGGGGAGUGAAAUAGACCAUGAAACCAUAAGCUUACAAGCAGUGGGAGCCCGAUUGAACGGGUGACCGCGUGCCUGUUGAAGAAUGAGCCGGCGACUUAUAGGUACUGGCAGGUUAAGGCGGGAAUGCUGGAGCCAGAGCGAAAGCGAGUCUGAAGAGGGCGUUAAGUCAGUAUUUAUAGACCCGAACCCGGGUGAUCUAACCAUGUCCAGGAUGAAGCUGGGGUAAAACCUCGUGGAGGUCCGAACCGACCGAUGUUGAAAAAUCGGCGGAUGAGGUGUGGUUAGGGGUGAAAUGCCAAUCGAACCCGGAGCUAGCUGGUUCUCCCCGAAAUAUGUUGAGGCAUAGCGGUUGUGGUAAUAGCUGUGGGGUAAAGCACUGAUUCGGUGCGGGCUGCGAGAGCGGUACCAAAUCGAGUCAAACUCUGAAUACGCAGUGUAGACACAGCCAGUCAGACGGUGGGGGAUAAGCUUCAUCGUCAAGAGGGAAACAGCCCAGACCACCAGCUAAGGUCCCGAAAUUACCACUAAGUGAUAAAGGAGGUGGGGGUGCUGAGACAACCAGGAGGUUUGCCUAGAAGCAGCAAUCCUUGAAAGAGUGCGUAAUAGCUCACUGGUCAAGCGCUUCUGCGCCGAAAAUGAACGGGGCUAAGUGGUAUACCGAAGCUGUGGACUUAUUUCGAUAAGUGGUAGGGGAGCGUUCCGCGAUAGAGGGAAGCACUAGCGAGAGCAGGUGUGGACGAGGCGGAAGUGAGAAUGUCGGCUUGAGUAGCGCAAACAUUGGUGAGAAUCCAAUGCCCCGAAACCCCAAGGGUUCCUCCGCAAGGCUCGUCCGCGGGGGGUUAGUCGGGACCUAAGGCGAGGCCGAGAGGCGUAGUCGAUGGCCAACCGGUCAACAUUCCGGUACUGGAUUUAAGUAGUGCAGGGGGACGGAGAAGGCUAGGUCAGCCGGGGGAUGGAAUACCCGGUUUAAGCAUUCGAGGCGAAGAGGCGCGGCGAAAACGUGCUGAGCGGAGAUGCGAGUACGACUGUCUACGGACGGGAAGUGGCUGAGGUCAAGCUUCCAAGAAAAGCCCUAAGCACGCUAACUUAAAUUCACCCGUACCCGAAACCGACACAGGUGGGGAGGUAGAGGAUACUAAGGGGCGCGAGGUAACUCUCUCUAAGGAACUCGGCAAAAUGGCCCCGUAACUUCGGGAGAAGGGGUGCCACCGAGAGGUGGUCGCAGUGAAGAGGCCCAGGCGACUGUUUACCAAAAACACAGGUCUCCGCGAAGUCGUAAGACGAGGUAUGGGGGCUGACGCCUGCCCAGUGCCGGAAGGUUAAGGAAGUUGGUUAGGGCAACCGAAGCUAGCGACCGAAGCCCCGGUGAACGGCGGCCGUAACUAUAACGGUCCUAAGGUAGCGAAAUUCCUUGUCGGGUAAGUUCCGACCCG